RNAcentral lists this ribosomal RNA (391 nucleotides) under uncultured bacterium. Its description in RNAcentral is "bacterial SSU rRNA". It matches the Rfam family "Bacterial small subunit ribosomal RNA", at positions 376 to 764 of the family's 1533-position model. The record is from RNAcentral.
CGCAAGGGUGACCCAGCAACGCCGCGUGGAGGAUGAAUGUCGUAAGAUUGUAAACUCCUGUUAGAGGGGAAGAAUAGUACCGGUUGGACCGGUAUAUGACUGUACCCUCAGAGAAAGCCCCGGCUAACUUCGUGCCAGCAGCCGCGGUAAUACGAAGGAUGCAAGCGUUAUCCGGCAUUAUUGGGUUUAAAGGGUGCGUAGGCGGACUAAUAAGUCAGUGGUGAAAGCCUGCAGCUUAACUGCAGAAUUGCCAUUUNGACUGUUAGUCUUUAGUACAGUUGAGGUAGGCGGAAUGGGUCAUGUAGCGGUGUAAUGCUUAGAUAUGACACAGAACACCGAUUGCGAAGGCAGCUUGCUAAGCGGUAACUGACGCUGAGGCACGAAAGCGUGG